RNAcentral lists this ribosomal RNA (467 nucleotides) under uncultured bacterium. Its description in RNAcentral is "bacterial SSU rRNA". It matches the Rfam family "Bacterial small subunit ribosomal RNA", at positions 29 to 524 of the family's 1533-position model. The record is from RNAcentral.
AACGAACGCUGGCGGUAUGCUUAACACAUGCAAGUCGAACGAACAAAAUUGGGGCUUGCUCCAAUUUUAGUGAGUGGCAAACGGGUGAGUAACACGUGGGAAUCUACCUAUCAGUACGGAAUAACAUUUGGAAACAGAUGCUAAUACCGUAUAUUCUCCAAGGAGGAAAGAUUUAUCGCUGAUAGAUGAGCCCGCGUAAGAUUAGGUAGUUGGUAGGGUAAUGGCCUACCAAGCCGACGAUCUUUAGCUGGUCUGAGAGGAUGAUCAGCCACACUGGGACUGAGACACGGCCCAGACUCCUACGGGAGGCAGCAGUGGGGAAUAUUGGACAAUGGGCGAAAGCCUGAUCCAGCAAUACCGCGUGAAUGAUGAAGGCCUUAGGGUUGUAAAGUUCUUUAGUUGGAAAGAUAAUGACGGUACCAACAGAAAAAGACCCCGGCUAACUCCGUGCCAGCAGCCGCGGUAAU